UGACAUGGAGCUGAGUGACUUACAUGA
This 27-nucleotide non-coding RNA is filed under the name Homo sapiens (human). Lineage: Eukaryota; Metazoa; Chordata; Mammalia; Primates; Hominidae. The record is from RNAcentral.